This 450-nucleotide ribosomal RNA is filed under the name uncultured bacterium. Its description in RNAcentral is "partial 16S ribosomal RNA". It matches the Rfam family "Bacterial small subunit ribosomal RNA", at positions 354 to 796 of the family's 1533-position model. The record is from RNAcentral.
GUGGGGAAUCUUCCGCAAUGGACGAAAGUCUGACGGAGCGACGCCGCGUGAGUGAAGAAGGCCUUCGGGUCGUAAAGCUCUGUCAUCAGGGACGAACGGCCGGUGGAGUGGAAAGCCACCGGAUUAACGGUACCUGAGAAGGAAGCCACGGCUAACUACGUGCCAGCAGCCGCGGUAAUACGUAGGUGGCAAGCGUUGUCCGGAAUUAUUGGGCGUAAAGCGCGCGCAGGUGGGAUCUUAAGUCCAUUUUUAAAGUUCGGAGCUCAACUCCGUGAUGGGAUGGAAACUGGGAUUCUUGAGUACCGGAGAGGAAAGCGGAAUUCCCCGUGUAGCGGUGAAAUGCGUAGAUAUUAGGAAGAACACCAGUGGCGAAGGCGACUUUCUGGACGAAAACUGACGCUGAGGCGCGAAAGCCAGGGGAGCGAACGGGAUUAGAAACCCCGGUAGUCC